This 728-nucleotide long non-coding RNA is filed under the name Phasianus colchicus (ring-necked pheasant). Its description in RNAcentral is "lncRNA (ENSPCLG00000007218.1)". Lineage: Eukaryota; Metazoa; Chordata; Aves; Galliformes; Phasianidae. The record is from RNAcentral.
CGCUCCUCCGGGCCUCCCUGUGCCCCUCUUCCGGGCGCCUCUCUCUCUCUCCUCCUCUCACUUUCUUUAAGCUAAGCGGGGAGUGGAAGAUGGUAGGUUGCUCCCUUCUCCUCCUCCUCCUCUUCGCUCGCUCUCGCCUCCGUGGGGUCCUGUUCCUUCCCCCUGUCCGCGGGGGGCUCCUCCUGCGGCGGGGAGGAGGGGGCGGGCGGGGCGGGAGGCACGGAGCCGGCGAGGCGCAGGAGGAGAGAAACUGUGACACAAAAACAAGCCGCGAAGCUGAACUCUUCUUCAAUCCCAUUCACCCGGCCCGGCCGCAGCACCGCGCCGACGGAUCCCUCCGCCGACGGCCUCCCUGCCUGCCUGACGCGCGCUCCCGACGCGCCGCCGAGCGCGCCCCCGCCCGCCCCCACCCCGCGGCCGGGGGGGUCCGGCCCGCCGCUCUCGCGGCCCCCCCGCCGCUCCCGGAGCGCCCCCGCCGCCCCCUCGCCGCCAUGCCGGCGGGGGCGGCCGCGCCGCCUCCUCCCGGGGGGGACUACUUGACGCGUCGGUGCGGCGAAUUUAUUUCCCUUUGCCUAAGGAACGGGCUGUGCUGCGGCACCCAUUGCCUAGGGAAAAAGCCCGGAUGUGAAGCUCACAAUGACAAAGAGGAGCAGUCCCAGCCUCUGCACUACUUCUGGCUUCAUUUCCACAUCAGCAAAAAGGACUUCCCCAGAUGUGAGCAGUCAUAA